This 405-nucleotide RNase P RNA is filed under the name Fidelibacterota bacterium. RNAcentral's name for it is "RNase P RNA component class A". It matches the Rfam family "Bacterial RNase P class A". Rfam says of the family: Ribonuclease P (RNase P) is a ubiquitous endoribonuclease, found in archaea, bacteria and eukarya as well as chloroplasts and mitochondria. Its best characterised activity is the generation of mature 5'-ends of tRNAs by cleaving the 5'-leader elements of precursor-tRNAs. The record is from RNAcentral. Lineage: Bacteria; Pseudomonadati; Fidelibacterota.
GAAGCUGGUCGGGUAGCCGCUCCAGCCUUUUUUGUUCUUUGACUGGGGAGGAAAGUCCGAACUCCGCAGGGCAGGGUGCCCCGUAACGCGGGGACGCCGUAAGGCGUGGAAAGUGCCACAGAAACUAUACCGCCCCUAUUAGGGGUAAGGGUGAAAUGGUGCGUCCCACAAUUAAGUGGGAUAUCUCGCCGUUGGCGAGAGAGUAAGAGCGCACCGUCCCAACGGCGACGUUGGGAGCAGGGCAAACCCCACUCGGAGCAAGACCAAGUAGGGAAGAGGGAUUGCCCGUCCCGUUUGAUUCCCGGGUAGGUCGCUUAAUCCCGGUCGUAAGGCCGAGGAUAGAUAAAUGGCUACCGUCCCGCUGUAGGCGGGAUACAGAAUUCGGCUUACAGACCAGCUUCAGAU